CUUUCAUGAUGAAGCAAAUUUUUAUUCAGUUCUGCUUCUGCAAACUUAUUGAAGAAAACAAAAUACCUUACCAAACCUUCUGAUUU
Molecule: small nucleolar RNA, 86 nt
Filed under: Aspergillus cristatus
Lineage: Eukaryota; Fungi; Ascomycota; Eurotiomycetes; Eurotiales; Aspergillaceae
Source: RNAcentral